UGGGGGAUAUUGCACAAUGGGCGAAAGCCUGAUGCAGCGACGCCGCGUGAGGGAAGACGGUCUUCGGAUUGUAAACCUCUGUCUUUGGGGAAGAAAAUGACGGUACCCAAAGAGGAAGCUCCGGCUAACUACGUGCCAGCAGCCGCGGUAAUACGUAGGGAGCAAGCGUUGUCCGGAAUUACUGGGUGUAAAGGGAGCGUAGGCGGGAUGGCAAGUAGAAUGUUAAAUCCAUCGGCUCAACCGGUGGCUGCGUUCUAAACUGCCGUUCUUGAGUGAAGUAGAGGCAGGCGGAAUUCCUAGUGUAGCGGUGAAAUGCGUAGAUAUUAGGAGGAACACCAGUGGCGAAGGCGGCCUGCUGGGCUUUAACUGACGCUGAGGCUCGAAAGCGUGGGGAGCAAACAGG
Molecule: ribosomal RNA, 403 nt
Filed under: uncultured bacterium
Lineage: Bacteria
Also listed under: 1 other name
Description: bacterial SSU rRNA
Rfam family: Bacterial small subunit ribosomal RNA
Source: RNAcentral